This 440-nucleotide ribosomal RNA is filed under the name uncultured bacterium. RNAcentral's name for it is "partial 16S ribosomal RNA". It matches the Rfam family "Bacterial small subunit ribosomal RNA", at positions 338 to 795 of the family's 1533-position model. The record is from RNAcentral.
CCUACGGGUGGCAGCAGUAGGGAAUAUUGCUCAAUGGGGGAAACCCUGAAGCAGCAACGCCGCGUGGAGGAUGAAGGUUUUCGGAUUGUAAACUCCUUUUGUUAGAGAAGAUAAUGACGGUAUCUAACGAAUAAGCACCUGCUAACUCCGUGCCAGCAGCCGCGGUAAUACGGAGGGUGCAAGCGUUACUCGGAAUCACUGGUCGUAAAGAGCGCGUAGGCGGGAUGGCAAGUCAGAUGUGAAAUCCUAUGGCUUAACCAUAGAACUGCAUUUGAAACUGAUAUUCUUGAGUAUAGGAGAGGUAGGUGGAAUUCUUGGUGUAGGGGUAAAAUGCGUAGAGAUCAGGAGGAAUACUCAUGGCGAAGGCGACCUGCUAGAACAUAACUGACGCUGAGGCGCGAAAGCGUGGGGAGCAAACAGGAUUAGAUACCCCAGUAGUC